UACGGAGGAUGCGAGCGUUAUCCGGAUUUAUUGGGUUUAAAGGGUGCGUAGGUUGUUUUUUAAGUCAGCGGUGAAAGUUUGUGGCUCAACCAUAAAAUUGCCGUUGAAACUGGAAGACUUGAGUGUGUUUGAGGCAGGCGGAAUGCGCGGUGUAGCGGUGAAAUGCAUAGAUAUCGCGCAGAACCCCGAUUGCGAAGGCAGCCUGCCGGCCCCACACUGACGCUGAGGCACGAAAGCGUGGGUAUCGAACAGG
RNAcentral lists this ribosomal RNA (253 nucleotides) under uncultured Parabacteroides sp. Its description in RNAcentral is "partial 16S ribosomal RNA". It matches the Rfam family "Bacterial small subunit ribosomal RNA", at positions 524 to 776 of the family's 1533-position model. Lineage: Bacteria; Pseudomonadati; Bacteroidota; Bacteroidia; Bacteroidales; Tannerellaceae. The record is from RNAcentral.